CGCGUAGGCGGCAUGCACAGUCAGAUGUGAAAUUCCUGGGCUCAACCUGGGGACUGCAUUUGAUACGUGUAAGCUAGAGUGGAGAAGAGGGUUGUGGAAUUUCCAGUGUAGAGGUGAAAUUCGUAGAUAUUGGAAAGAACACCGGUGGCGAAGGCGGCAACCUGGUCUUUAACUGACGCUGAGGCGCGAAAGCGUGGGGAGCAAACA
This 207-nucleotide ribosomal RNA is filed under the name uncultured bacterium. Its description in RNAcentral is "partial 16S ribosomal RNA". It matches the Rfam family "Bacterial small subunit ribosomal RNA", at positions 568 to 774 of the family's 1533-position model. The record is from RNAcentral.